This 202-nucleotide long non-coding RNA is filed under the name Phoenix dactylifera (date palm). Its description in RNAcentral is "long non-coding RNA (PDAC_LNC011807)". The record is from RNAcentral. Lineage: Eukaryota; Viridiplantae; Streptophyta; Magnoliopsida; Arecales; Arecaceae.
UCCUGGUUGCGAUCUUUCAUGAAAACAGGGGAUUGGGUUGACCCGGUUUAGUAACCUGAUGGAGUUGUAAUCAAGCUAAGGCUAUAAUUAAAUAGGUUUUGGUCCUGAUUAGAUAAUUAUUUUUAUAUGGAAAAAAGGUUUGAUUAACUUUUUUUAUUAAGUCCCGAUCUUGUUUUUGGUCUUGUCGAGUCCGGUCUGAAGC